This 254-nucleotide ribosomal RNA is filed under the name uncultured prokaryote. RNAcentral's name for it is "partial 16S ribosomal RNA". It matches the Rfam family "Bacterial small subunit ribosomal RNA", at positions 521 to 774 of the family's 1533-position model. The record is from RNAcentral.
UAAUACGUAGGGGGCAAGCGUUGUCCGGAUUUAUUGGGCGUAAAGAGCGUGUAGGCGGCCAGGUAGGUCGGCUGUGAAAACUCGAGGCUCAACCUCGAGAUGUCGGCCGAAACCAUCUGGCUAGAGUCCGGAAGAGGAGAGUGGAAUUCCCGGUGUAGCGGUGAAAUGCGCAGAUAUCGGGAGGAACACCCGUGGCGAAAGCGGCUCUCUGGGACGGUACUGACGCUGAGACGCGAAAGCGUGGGGAGCGAACA